Molecule: ribosomal RNA, 468 nt
Filed under: uncultured bacterium
Lineage: Bacteria
Description: partial 16S ribosomal RNA
Rfam family: Bacterial small subunit ribosomal RNA
Source: RNAcentral
GACGAACGCUGGCGGCGUGCUUAACACAUGCCAGUCGAACGGAAAGGCCCUGCUUUUGUGGGGUGCUCGAGUGGCGAACGGGUGAGUAACACGUGAGUAACCUGCCCUUUACGUUGGGAUAACUUCAGGAAACUGUGGCUAAUACCGGAUAGGAGCUCCUGCUGCAUGGUGGGGGUUGGAAAGUUUCGGCGGUUGGGGAUGGACUCGCGGCUUAUCAGCUUGUUGGUGGGGUAGUUGCUUACCAAGGGUUUGACGGGUAGCCGGCCUGGGAGGGUGACCGGCCACAUGGGGACUGAGAGACGGCCCAGACUCCUACGGGAGGCAGCAGUGGGGAAUAUUGCACAAUGGGCGGAAGCCUGAGGCAGCGACGCCGCGUGCGGGAUGACGGCCUGCGGGUUGUAAACCGCUUUCGCCUGUGACGAAGCGUGAGUGACGGUAAUGGGUAAAGAAGCACCGGCUAACUACGUG